UCUGAUAAACAGAGAGCGAGAGCCCAUAGUUUCCGAUCAAAAAAAAAAAAAAAACACCCGCUUCCCAGUUCCUUUCAAAAACACUUUGUUUCCAGUUACGCUAAAACGAUCUUUUUGCUUUUUGAUUUUUCCAGAAAAAGAAGCAGAAGAAGAAGGAAGAUGAAAAACAAAAUCCAAAACUUAGAUGAGAAAGAAGUAAGCGAUCAAAGGUGCCAUCUCCGAUUCUCUCACACAAUGGCCACCGAUUCAUCAAACCAACUCAAUCUCAACCCUACUACUACUACAGAAGAAAACCCUAAACAAACCCUAGACGACGACACUACUACUGCUGUCAUGCCCAUCAGAUCGCCUCGAAGAAGAAGAAAAGGAAGAACCAACCGAUGAGGCUUCCGAUCAGCCUUCUGUAACCACCGUCGAUUCCGAUGCGAAGUACGGCGAGGAUUCAAAGAGCACUAUAGUCGCUGCCUAUAGCAGGGGAUGUUGUUGAUGUGGAUCCGGCUUCCAAUCAUUUCACUCCGCACUCCAAGUACAAAUUUAGAAAAGUUACUGGAUUCUCUAAUAGGAGAAUUACCGUUGGUUUCUCUACAAUAAAAUGAAAGGUGAAAGCUGAUUGGUUGUGUUAUGUGGAAUCUACAACUGUAUAGGAACCUUGCUCUUUUAUAGUUUUAGAGUUAAGAUAAGGACAGGUUCCAUGUGCUUUUCCAUCUUGCAAGUUCCUAGAUGUAGAAUUCCCAUCUUAGCUACUUUUUGGAGGGAAAGCUUCCACAGUUUGAGUAGGACUGACAAAAACAGUUUAGCUUUAGGCUACUUGGUUCUAAUAUCUAUGGGCUUGAGAGAGGUUACAAUAGAAAAUGGACUCGAAGUCCUAUAUUUACAAAAAGUGAUGCAUUUAGGGUAAAUAAGACAGAGAUUAGUCAAUUCCACAAUAAUGAAUAUAGUGAAUCAUAAGAUUCACUUCCUAUAGAUUAUUGAAAUAAAACAAAAAAUAUAUGUGACUACCUUCAAAAGAAUAAUCUACGGUAUGAUUGUUUUUAUUGUGUAUGUCUUGGUGUUUUGGAUUUGAGUACUUAUAGAUGAUUUACUUUUAUUUAUUUGUUUUAUGAAUAGAUGAUUACAUAAUAAUGGGUGAAAAGUUUCAUGAAUUCCAUAACUUGGGAGUGUGUAUAAUCUAAUAUAUCUAUUUUGUUUAUCACUACGAGGUUUGUUGUUAACAAAUUUUCUCUGUAUCAUUGCAGCUUUUUCGGGAUUGUGAUUUUUUUUUUUUUAUUAUUAUUAUUUUUUUUGCAAUUGAAAUUUAGGGUCAAGAUUAAGAUUCAAUGUUGUUUUUAUGGUUUAUGACUUAUGAAUUGGUUUGGUUUUAGAAUUUGAGAUUCCCAUCUACUAUUGAUUAUGCAUUUUAUUUGUUGUAGGUGGAAUUCUGUUUUGUUUAUAUAUUGUGGCUUGAUUAUGCACUACAACUUUUUUUUCUUUUGCAAUGUCCCUUUUAAGGGUUAUCUAUUGGUUUGGUUUUAGAAUUUGAUAUUCCAAUGUACUAUUGAUUAUGCAUUAUUAUUUGACUAAUAUUUUUCUGACUUUCUGUUUCACAAACCAGUAGCCAUUUUUUUCUUUUAAACUUUUUGGUUGUAAAA
Molecule: long non-coding RNA, 1628 nt
Organism: Quercus robur (English oak)
Lineage: Eukaryota; Viridiplantae; Streptophyta; Magnoliopsida; Fagales; Fagaceae
Exons: 3
Source: RefSeq, a predicted model, not a curated record